This is a long non-coding RNA of Cavia porcellus (domestic guinea pig), 1005 nucleotides long. RefSeq lists it as uncharacterized. NCBI's taxonomy places the organism in Eukaryota, Metazoa, Chordata, Mammalia, Rodentia, Caviidae. The transcript is spliced from 2 exons. The record is from RefSeq and is a predicted model, not a curated record.
UUUUCUAUUCUGUGGGUUCCUAUUAAUCACCCCUGUUUGCACAAAUUUGACCAACACUGUUAAAAAUAUGACAGCUUGGCUGCAAGACACCUACCUACCUAAGUUUCACAAUUUGUCCCUCAUAUCUCCUGGCCCAACCUGACUACUUGGAUCCUGAUUGCCGUGGCCUUCCUAGUGGGGCUUGUGGUUAUUAAAUGCUUGUUAGAUCACCUCAUACAAACUCAGCAGCAGGUUAAGAUCACAGCUAUGGCAGCCAUGCAAAUGGCAGCAGGUGGCCCAUCAGGCCAGCAGGCCGCCGCAUAUCUCCUUCACAUUGCAGAACAUCAGCUAUAAGAGCUGAGUGGGCAAGCCAAUGACAGGCUCCACUCAGAUAUACAUGGCCUAUAAGGCCAGGGGUCCAUUCUGGAAUCAAAUUAUUGGCAUUGAGAUGCGAGACCAAGGGUACUGCAGUGCCAUCCGCCCCAAAGGUUGGGGGGAAGGCAGGAAUGAAUGUCUAUAUGCAUCCAGGUUCGGUUCACAAAAGCCUGGCCCUGCGAAAAAAUGAACCACUCACCUUGAGCAUGGUCCUGGCGCAAGGAUAUGCACAAAACAGGGUGAUGCACAGCAGGGUAUAGACCUCUACAUUCUCUCAUGCCUCGGCCUACAAGGUAGGCCCACUCCUAGGUGUCUAACAGCAACAAGGUCAUAGACACCUUGGAGGGACCCACAGACCAUCCUAUUUUAAUAAAUAAAAAAGGGGGAGAUGUGGGAAGCCGCCUAUGAAUGGCGCCCAUUUCCUGCUUCCGGGUUCUUCCCGGCCUGAACAAGCCCGCCAAAUUGUCAUGUCUGCCCAGUUACCCGUGACGCUAGCCUAUCAGCUUGUUAGACGCGCUUCUCUGUGAUUGGAUACUGCUUCCCCUUAUAAGAGGUUGUUCCUGCCCCCAACGGGCAGAAGAGGAACCAACGUUGAGGGUGGCGGACCUUGUUAGGUCCGGUUCGCUGUACGCAAUAAAGUUUGAGAGCUGA